GUGAAUAUACCGGUACUCGUUAGAUCACCGAAGUCAAGCAUCAUUGGGGUGGUCAGUACUUGGGUGGGUGACCACCUGGGAACACCGCGUGCCGUU
Molecule: ribosomal RNA, 96 nt
Filed under: Caerostris darwini
Lineage: Eukaryota; Metazoa; Arthropoda; Arachnida; Araneae; Araneidae
Source: RNAcentral